AUGCACGCUGGCGGCGUGCUUAACCCAUGCAAGUCGAACGGAAAGGCCCAAGCUUGCUUGGGUACUCGAGUGGCGAACGGGUGAGUAACACGUGGGUGAUCUGCCCCGCACUUCGGGAUAAGCCUGGGAAACUGGGUCUAAUACCGGAUAGGACCACUUCUUGGAGGUUGUGGUGGAAAGUUUUUUCGGUGUGGGAUGAGCUCGCGGCCUAUCAGCUUGUUGGUGGGGUAAUGGCCUACCAAGGCGUCGACGGGUAGCCGGCCUGAGAGGGUGUACGGCCACAUUGGGACUGAGAUACGGCCCAGACUCCUACGGGAGGCAGCAGUGGGGAAUAUUGCACAAUGGGCGCAAGCCUGAUGCAGCGACGCCGCGUGGGGGAUGACGGCCUUCGGGUUGUAAACUCCUUUCGCUAGGGACGAAGCGCAAGUGACGGUACCUAGAGAAGAAGCACCGGCUAACUACGUG
This 465-nucleotide ribosomal RNA is filed under the name uncultured bacterium. RNAcentral describes it as "partial 16S ribosomal RNA". It matches the Rfam family "Bacterial small subunit ribosomal RNA", at positions 29 to 507 of the family's 1533-position model. The record is from RNAcentral.